RNAcentral lists this ribosomal RNA (253 nucleotides) under uncultured bacterium. RNAcentral describes it as "partial 16S ribosomal RNA". It matches the Rfam family "Bacterial small subunit ribosomal RNA", at positions 524 to 776 of the family's 1533-position model. The record is from RNAcentral.
UACGAAGGUCCCGAGCGUUGUUCGGAAUCACUGGGCGUAAAGGGAGCGUAGGCGGCGCGGUAAGUCAGAUGUGAAAUCCCGGGGCUCAACCCCGGAACUGCAUCCGGUACUGCCGUGCUAGAGGAUUGGAGAGGUAGCUGGAAUUCUUGGUGUAGCAGUGAAAUGCGUGGAGAUCAAGAGGAACACUCGUGGCGAAAGCGAGCUACUGGACAAUAUCUGACGCUGAGGCUCGAAGGCCAGGGUAGCGAAAGGG